Molecule: ribosomal RNA, 1251 nt
Filed under: Triticum aestivum (bread wheat)
Lineage: Eukaryota; Viridiplantae; Streptophyta; Magnoliopsida; Poales; Poaceae
Description: partial small subunit ribosomal RNA
Source: RNAcentral
AUGCAAAAAGUCUUGGGUGGGUUUGUUAGAACCUACGCUUUUGACGAAUUAUCCAAUGACAAUGUCCGUGACGGCACAAUGACAAUUGAGUAUGAUGAUGAGCGGUCUGAUACUCACCCUAUCACAGUACUGAUCUUAGAGAAUGCAGACAACACUAGUGAGACUGGAGAUUACAUUGUUGCGCAUACUGAGAAUCUUUCUAGAUAUGGUGGUGACUUAAUUGUGCGACCAUAUUUCAGUACGUUUGCCAUUAAAAUCCAGCAAUAUAUAGUAGCCUAUGAGCCAUUCAGACCCAACUAUAUUCAGGCAAUACACAGGGAACCAUUUUUUUCUGCUGAUGGGCGCUUGUCAGAAUCUUGGCGAAACAGGAUGAGGUCAUUCAUACAACUUCUCCAUUAUGCGGCAAAGCGCAAAAUCACACAUGGUAGUCUCUCAGACCCUACCAGCUAUGUGACUUGCCGUGAGGAUCUGAAGAUAAUUAGUGUGGGGCGACGUGCUCGUGGAAAAUACGUUGUCGGGAAAGACAUGGAAGAUCUUAUGGCUCUUAUAUCUACACAAUUCCCCCCGAGUUUGACUAACGACGAGUGGGGAACCCUGAAGAAGCUUCUGCUUUCACAGACCAUGAGGGACCCAGUUAGAGUCCAUGCUUAUCAUACUUAUUACUGUCGUGACUGGCUAGCAGCUGCCUUGCGGCACCCAACUUUAUUGGGCACCACCGAAGAAAUACUGGAAUGUUUUGUACAUCUCCACUCAGAUGCGAUGGGGCUGGACGAUAUCACUGGGGAGAAAGCUAGGUUCUCUAAUAGGAUUUACAAGGACUACCAGCAAUUUAGAAGUUACUUCCGUCGCGACGUCACCAAUGACGCAGUGGAUAACGAGUAUGAUUUCCGUACUAAUGGAGUUGUUCCGUUUGAUGGAGUUUACAAAGCCCUCUUCACAUUCACACACAGCAGUUAUAUGGUACUGAAAGAGGACCCUCGCUAUCCAAAAACAAUGAAUGACUUCGUAUACAACGAUCGUGAUAGUUACUGGUCACCUAAUUAUGGUUCACGAUUUAUCUAUAUCAAUGUCCUUAGGUUGGUUCAGAAUCUGAUAAAGCAUGGAGUUCAACAGGAUCCGCGUUUUAACAAUCAGGACUAUCUCCUCGCUGAGAUCAAAACUCGUUUCAAACAUUUUAUGUAUGCUUGCUACACCCUCCUAAACAUGAGGGAGGAUUGGAUUACUAAGAUAACGCGCAAUCCAUAUAAAUAG